This 66-nucleotide transfer RNA is filed under the name Dilophus febrilis. RNAcentral describes it as "tRNA-Ala". Lineage: Eukaryota; Metazoa; Arthropoda; Insecta; Diptera; Bibionidae. The record is from RNAcentral.
AGGAUUGUAGUUUAAAUAAAAACAUUUAAUUUGCAUUUAAAAAUUACUAAAACCUAGUCUAUCUUA